GACGAACGCUGGCGGCGUGCUUAACACAUGCAAGUCGAACGGAAAGGCCCUGCUUUUGUGGGGUGCUCGAGUGGCGAACGGGUGAGUAACACGUGAGUAACCUGCCCUUGACUUUGGGAUAACUUCAGGAAACUGGGGCUAAUACCGGAUAGGAGCUCCUGCUGCAUGGUGGGGGUUGGAAAGUUUCGGCGGUUGGGGAUGGACUCGCGGCUUAUCAGCUUGUUGGUGGGGUAGUGGCUUACCAAGGCUUUGACGGGUAGCCGGCCUGAGAGGGUGACCGGCCACAUUGGGACUGAGAUACUGCCCAGACUCCUACGGGAGGCAGCAGUGGGGAAUAUUGCACAAUGGGCGGAAGCCUGAUGCAGCAACGCCGCGUGCGGGAUGACGGCCUUCGGGUUGUAAACCGCUUUCGCCUGUGACGAAGCGUGAGUGACGGUAAUGGGUAAAGAAGCACCGGCUAACUACGUGCCAGCAGCCGCGGUGAUACGUAGGGUGCGAGCGUUGUCCGGAUUUAUUGGGCGUAAAGGGCUCGUAGGUGGUUGAUCGCGUCGGAAGUGUAAUCUUGGGGCUUAACCCUGAGCGUGCUUUCGAUACGGGUUGACUUGAGGAAGGUAGGGGAGAAUGGAAUUCCUGGUGGAGCGGUGGAAUGCGCAGAUAUCAGGAGGAACACCAGUGGCGAAGGCGGUUCUCUGGGCCUUUCCUGACGCUGAGGAGCGAAAGCGUGGGGAGCGAACAGGCUUAGAUACCCUGGUAGUCCACGCUGUAAACGGUGGGUACUAGGUGUGGGGUCCAUUCCACGGGUUCCGUGCCGUAGCUAACGCUUUAAGUACCCCGCCUGGGGAGUACGGCCGCAAGGCUAAAACUCAAAGGAAUUGACGGGGCCCCGCACAAGCGGCGGAGCAUGCGGAUUAAUUCGAUGCAACGCGUAGAACCUUACCUGGGUUUGACAUGGAUCGGGAGCGCUCAGAGAUGGGUGUGCCUCUUUUGGGGUCGGUUCACAGGUGGUGCAUGGCUGCCGUCAGCUCGUGUCGUGAGAUGUUGGGUUAAGUCCCGCAACGAGCGCAACCCUUGUUCACUGUUGCCAGCACGUUAUGGUGGGGACUCAGUGGAGACCGCCGGGGUCAACUCGGAGGAAGGUGGGGAUGACGUCAAGUCAUCAUGCCCCUUAUGUCCAGGGCUUCACGCAUGCUACAAUGGCUGGUACAGAGAGUGGCGAGCCUGUGAGGGUGAGCGAAUCUCGGAAAGCCGGUCUCAGUUCGGAUUGGGGUCUGCAACUCGACCUCAUGAAGUCGGAGUCGCUAGUAAUCGCAGAUCAGCAACGCUGCGGUGAAUACGUUCCCGGG
Molecule: ribosomal RNA, 1343 nt
Filed under: uncultured bacterium
Lineage: Bacteria
Description: 16S ribosomal RNA
Rfam family: Bacterial small subunit ribosomal RNA
Source: RNAcentral